Molecule: long non-coding RNA, 775 nt
Organism: Triticum dicoccoides
Lineage: Eukaryota; Viridiplantae; Streptophyta; Magnoliopsida; Poales; Poaceae
Exons: 4
Source: RefSeq, a predicted model, not a curated record
CUAGAAGAUUGCCUCAUCCCUUCCUAGGAGAACGUAUCCUGUGCACCGGAUGAAUUGGUGCAACGAAUGCGCCGACUCAUUCUGGGCCACUGGAUGAAGAACAGACGGGUUGGAUCUUAGUAUAAGGUGGCAGCCGGUACAUUUCACACAAAGGACCUUGUAAAGUCAUUCAACUACACAAGCAGUCCUUCCAAGAUCCCAUCGUCUUCUUCCCUUCGCUCUUCUCCCUUCUGUACCUGUACACCGAGGAUUUGCAAGCUAGGCUCUGUACAAGCGCCCCCUCUCCCCUGAAACGACCGCGCCACCGACGAGCGCUUACAUGUAGCGCCGCCAUGCUGUAGGUCUGGGCAACAUUGACCCAGCCAUCGCAAAGCCGGCCAUCUUCUGCAGCUUAAAGUAUCCAGGGAAUGAAGAGCAGACAUUAAGGUCAAGAUCUGGAACAAGAAUAUAUUUUGUAAUGGCAGCAAGUACUGUCUGGAUGUUCAGCUGCAAGCUCAUUUAUAGUUACUUUGUCUCUUCUAGCCAGCCAAGAUAUCUCUGUCAGAUGAUGAGGGGAGCUGCUAAUUCAGGAUAUAUUGGCAUCUGAAACGUAAUGUAUCUCUUGUAGUAAAGUUAUUGACAACAGAACAUGGUGGACCUUCUGUUCAAGAGUUGUGUAGAACAAGCUAUCCUUAUGAAAUAUGUGCGUCAUAUAUAUGUACACAAUGAGUGAAUCCGACUGUGUAUACGACAGUGGUGUACAAGAAAUUUAAAUAUGGUACUGUCAAGUUUUCUA